This 492-nucleotide ribosomal RNA is filed under the name uncultured bacterium. RNAcentral's name for it is "partial 16S ribosomal RNA". It matches the Rfam family "Bacterial small subunit ribosomal RNA", at positions 29 to 507 of the family's 1533-position model. The record is from RNAcentral.
AGUGAAUGCUGGCGGUAGGCCUAACACAUGCAAGUCGAACGGCAGCACAGUAAGAGCUUGCUCUUACGGGUGGCGAGUGGCGGACGGGUGAGGAAUACAUCGGAAUCUACUUUUUCGUGGGGGAUAACGUAGGGAAACUUACGCUAAUACCGCAUACGACCUACGGGUGAAAGAAGGGGAUCUUCGGACCUUGCGCGAUUGAAUGAGCCGAUGUCGGAUUAGCUAGUUGGCGGGGUAAAGGCCCACCAAGGCGACGAUCCGUAGCUGGUCUGAGAGGAUGAUCAGCCACACUGGAACUGAGACACGGUCCAGACUCCUACGGGAGGCAGCAGUGGGGAAUAUUGGACAAUGGGCGCAAGCCUGAUCCAGCCAUGCCGCGUGGGUGAAGAAGGCCUUCGGGUUUUAAAGCCCUUUUGUUGGGAAAGAAAAGCAGCAGGUUAAUACCCCGCUGUUCUGACGGUACCCAAAGAAUAAGCACCGGCUAACUUCGUG